This 908-nucleotide ribosomal RNA is filed under the name Pontellina plumata. Its description in RNAcentral is "SSU rRNA". It matches the Rfam family "Eukaryotic small subunit ribosomal RNA", at positions 81 to 989 of the family's 1831-position model. The record is from RNAcentral. Lineage: Eukaryota; Metazoa; Arthropoda; Copepoda; Calanoida; Pontellidae.
GUGAAACCGCGAAUGGCUCAUUAAAUCACACCUAAUCUACUGGAAUGUUAGCAGUUACUUGGAUAACUGAGGUAAUUCUUGAGCUAAUACAUGCGAAAAAUCUCGACUCACGGAGAGAUGCUUUUAUUAGAUCAAAACCAAACAGCUUCGGCUGUUCCACUGGUGACUCUGAAUAACCUUGGGCUGAUCGCAUUGCCUUGUGCAGGCGACAUUUCCUUCGAAGGUGUGCCCUAUCAACUGUCGACUGUGAUAUAGACGCUCACAGUGGUUUUGACGGGUAACGGGGAAUCAGGGUUCGAUUCCGGAGAGGGAGCCUUAAAAACGGCUACCACAUCCAAGGAAGGCAGCAGGCACGCAAAUUACCCAAUGAUCGAAGAUCGAGGUAGUGACGAAAAAUAACAAUACAAGACUCAUCCGAGGCCUGGUAAUUGGAAUGAGUAUACUUUAAAACCGUUCCCGAGGAUCUAUUGGAGGGCAAGUCUGGUGCCAGCAGCCGCGGUAAUUCCAGCUCCAAUAGCGUAUAUUAAAGUUGUUGCGGUUAAAAAGCUCGUAGUUGGAUUUCGGCGGGCAGAGGUUGGUUUGAAUUGCUUCAACACUGACUUUUUUGCCCGUGUGUUUUGUCAGAUGCUGACAGGUGAUCUUCGCCGAUUGUCUGUUAGAGCUGGCAGGUUUACUUUGAAAAAAUUAGAGUGCUCAAAGCAAGCUUGAUUGCUUGAAUAUUCGUGCAUGGAAUAAUAGAAUAGGAAGUCGUUUCUAUUUUGUUGGUUUUCAGAAUUCGACUUAAUGAUUAACAGAGACUGACGGGGGCAUUUGUAUUCAAACGACAGAGGUGAAAUUCUUGGACCGUUUGAAGACAAACGACUGCGAAGGCAUUUGCCAAGAAUGUUUUCAUUAAUCAAGAACGAAAG